RNAcentral lists this ribosomal RNA (292 nucleotides) under uncultured bacterium. Its description in RNAcentral is "partial 16S ribosomal RNA". It matches the Rfam family "Bacterial small subunit ribosomal RNA", at positions 505 to 796 of the family's 1533-position model. The record is from RNAcentral.
GUGUCAGCCGCCGCGGUAAGACAGAGGGUGCAAACGUUGUUCGGAAUUACUGGGCGUAAAGCGUGUGUAGGCGGCUGAGAAAGUCGGAUGUGAAAGCCCCGGGCUCAACCCGGGAAGUGCACCCGAAACUGUUCGGCUCGAGUCUCGGAGAGGUUGGUGGAAUUCUCGGUGUAGAGGUGAAAUUCGUAGAUAUCGAGAGGAACACCGGUGGCGAAGGCGGCCAACUGGACGAAGACUGACGCUGAGACACGAAAGCGUGGGGAGCAAACAGGAUUAGAUACCCCCGUAGUCC